Molecule: long non-coding RNA, 2745 nt
Organism: Mandrillus leucophaeus (drill)
Lineage: Eukaryota; Metazoa; Chordata; Mammalia; Primates; Cercopithecidae
Exons: 3
Source: RefSeq, a predicted model, not a curated record
AGCCCGGCGCAGGGCGAGUCAUGUAUAUCCAGGCCUGCGCGGUGCCUCUGCCUGGGGCUGGGCUCUCAAGGCUGGAAACCUGCAGACUUGACAUCCUGAGUGGCGGCAUUUUUGGAACACAGGCCAUGCGAUUUUACUUCCGGACGACUUAGGGAGCGCUCCCAACCCGUGCAGGGGAUUUUCCCACUCAGGAGUAGGCACUCAGGGCUGAGGCUUUCCAGAAGCUCUUCCCGCCCCUCCACAUACAUGUUAACAAUCCAUUUCGCAUCUAUCCAUCUAAUACAUUAUAAAAUCAAAUUCAAAGUCAAAACAGUAUUUCAAACCCUCCCACCGCCCUGUCCUCACCAGGCUUGCAGCACUAAAACUCUUGACAGAGAAAUUCUUGAGCUACCCGUGCUUUUCCUGGACACUACGGACGGCUCAGACCAGAACAGACAUCUUGAGGGACAUGGGGACGUGUCCACGAUGCCGGGGGAUUGGACAGUUUCAGGUAGGCCACCCUGGCUUUCCCAAAGUCAAGGUUAUGACCUAGAUUUCCAAGCGAACGCGCACGGCCUUCUGCGCUGAAAUCGUCCUCUGUCUUUCUCAGAAGAGGGAAGGGAGGCACUCUGUAGUAUUGCCAAAUAGAAGGCCGGUGAAGUUCAGCCUUGCUUAUUUGCUAUUGCAUUCUGUACAGAGCAGCCCUGUCCUUUGCUUUGCUGAGAUGAUCUUGUUCAAAGGUGCUGCCAGGCCACCGGAAGUCUCUGCGGUGGUUUUGCUAAGACAGUCGCCAGAACCCGCUCAGUGAGGAAUAUGAGACUUUAAAGAGCCUGAAUUUUUUGGUGUGGGUCCUUUAUUUGCAGAAGAUACUAGGAGCAUUCUAUGGCUUUUUUCCCCAAGGGAGACUAAGUUUUUAAAACGCAAUGAGCUAGAAGUAUCAAAAGAUGCAAAUUGCAGAGCGAUUUCAAAGUCCAUCAGCUGUUUGGCGUUGACACAACUAAAAUUCUGUAAGAAGGGCAAAUGGGGCCAAAACACAAAAAGAAAUACAAUAUUGCCUUUAACAAUUGCAACUCUUUGUGAGGCAAAAUGUCAUAUGUCACCUCUGUGAAACUUUAGGAUAAAAGCAAAUACAGAUGAGUGAGGUUCACUGCAGCUCAUCUCUAGGAACAUGGGUUGUUGGAGAACCCGUAGCUGGGUCGGGUAACCAACAGGAAACUGGCCAGGAGCAAGCUUAUCAAUCAGAUCAGCCACUGUAACCUGCCAGAAGGGUUCUCUAAAAGAGUUUUUAAAACUUAAGGCAAAGGAAACUCAGCAAACAUAUUUAUUUGAAUUUUCAAGAAGUUUUGACUAAGAACUGCUCUAAAAAAGAAUAAGAAAACAAAUAAUCCUGGAGAAAUAAAAUGAGGGCAUCAAAAACCAGUGAAACACUAGAAGACAAUGAUAAACAGGGAACAUCUGUUCCCCAGAACAGAAAGAAGUUGGUCCAGACGUCGGUACAGCACUGGAUUGAAGUAUUAUUUAAUACAAAUGUUUUACAGCAUUAAUCUUUGGAAGGAGGGAAAAGUUUACAGAUGACCCUGGGCCUUCCUAAAUCCUACCGUCCUGUAUAGAAACACUAUGUUUCUAAACAUUUUUACUUCUUUCCCUGGCUUAAUUCCAGAGUUUGGAGAACUGGAACCAAGUGGCAUCUUCCAGCGUCUUAUAUCUGAAGUUUAUUUGGUGGAUGGGAUCACUGUAGAAUGACUUCCAGUGUAUUAUUUUUUCAAGUUUCAGUUAUUUAUUAAUCAGUGUAAUCUCCAAUAGGUUACAUCAACAUGAUUUCAUUCAUUUAGAGGAGAAAUAUUUCCUAGUGAAGUGGAAAAUUGUGCGGAUGAAUUCUGGAAGACCUUCGGUCUAAAGCAGCUUUGUAGUGAAACAUUUCAUUUAGAAGUCUGGACCUUCGUUCUUCAGUUUGCUGUGAUCCACAUUCAUUGAGUAGAACUUGUAUUGAUCAUCGGGACCCAGUUUGUUCCAGGGAUCUGGGUGAUUCUUUCUGUCCCAACUAACAUCCAGAUUGAACAAUGCCAGACGCAAGAGAUACAGUCCUGCUCCAGUACCUCCAGCUCCAAUAAAUACUAAGAGGGGGAUCAAGCUUGGAUGCUUCUUAGCCUGACCGAUGAUCUGGUGGAGCAUGUUAGCGGCAGAGACCUCUAAUUGGAAAGGAGAGAACCAGCCUAGCCACCAGGCCCUGGGCUAAGUAGUAUCUCACCAGUGUAUUUUAAAAGGCCUUUGGGAAUUUUGUAUUCUGCUUGGCCCAUUCCUACUACAGAUAUACUGCUGCUGCUGGUUUGGAGAGGAAGGACUUCUGGAGAACUGGAACUUGGUCAGUGGAUGAGGACAUACAACACUGUGAAUGAGCAAUUAUGGAGUCAGGGUGGUGUCUCGGGGACUUGGAGGAUGUCAGACAUCCCAUGUUGACUAAUUCGAGAUACCUAUUCUGUUCAAAGAGGGCCUUUCAGCUGGGCACGGUGGCUCACGCCUGUAAUCCCAGCACUUUGGGAGCCCGAGGCUGGCAGAUCACCUGAGGCCAGGAGAUGGAGACCAGCCUGGCCAACAUGAUGAAACUACUAAAAAUACAAAAAUUAGCCAGGCAUGGUGGCGCACACCUGCAGUCCCAGCUACUUGGGAGGCUCAGGCAGGAGAAUCGCUUGAAAAUGGGAGGCUGCAGUGAGCUGAGAUUGUCCCACUGCCCACCAGCCUGGGUGACAGAGCUAGACUCUGUCUCAA